Molecule: ribosomal RNA, 265 nt
Filed under: uncultured bacterium
Lineage: Bacteria
Description: partial 16S ribosomal RNA
Rfam family: Bacterial small subunit ribosomal RNA
Source: RNAcentral
GCAAGUCGAGCGAGAAGGUAAAGUUUUCUUGUUCGGAAGAAGAUUUCACUGGAGAGCGGCGGACGGGGGAGUAACGCGCGGGUAACCAGUCCUAUACAUAGGGAUAGCGUUGGAAAUGAAGAGUAAUACCUGAUAAAACAUAUCCACUGCAUGGUAGAAAUGUUCAAAGAUUUAUCGCCUAGGGAUGAACCCGCGUCUGAUUAGCUUGUUGGUGAGGUAAUGGCUCACCAAGGCGACGAUCAGUAGCCGACCUGAGAGGGUGAUC